Molecule: ribosomal RNA, 253 nt
Filed under: uncultured bacterium
Lineage: Bacteria
Description: partial 16S ribosomal RNA
Rfam family: Bacterial small subunit ribosomal RNA
Source: RNAcentral
GACAGAGGGUGCAAACGUUGUUCGGAAUUACUGGGCGGAAAGCGCGUGUAGGCGGCUAAGUAAGUCGGGCGUGAAAUCCCACGGCUCAACCGUGGAAGUGCACUCGAAACUGCAUAGCUAGAGUCCUGGAGAGGAAGGUGGAAUGCUUGGUGUAGAGGUGAAAUUCGUAGAUAUCAAGCGGAACACCGGUGGCGAAGGCGGCCUUCUGGACAGUGACUGACGCUGAGACGCGAAAGCGUGGGGAGCAAACAGG